AAGUCGUAACAAGGUUUCUGUAGGUAAACCUGCGGAAGGAUUAUUACCUUUCUGGCUAUUUAAUAGCUUGUCUAGGGGGCUGCAGUUUUCUGCAGUCUCUAACUACAUCCGUGUUUUUUUGCGUACUACAUGUUUCCUCGGCAGGCUUGCUUUGCCCAGUUAAAACAAAACUAAAAACUCUUUGCAAUUGCAAUCAGCGUCUAAAAUUAUAUAAUAAUUUACAAC
This 225-nucleotide unclassified non-coding RNA is filed under the name plant metagenome. Its description in RNAcentral is "partial contains small subunit ribosomal RNA and internal transcribed spacer 1". The stretch from base 1 to 46 matches the Rfam family "Eukaryotic small subunit ribosomal RNA", at positions 1786 to 1831 of the family's 1831-position model. The record is from RNAcentral.